RNAcentral lists this ribosomal RNA (253 nucleotides) under uncultured bacterium. RNAcentral describes it as "partial 16S ribosomal RNA". It matches the Rfam family "Bacterial small subunit ribosomal RNA", at positions 524 to 776 of the family's 1533-position model. The record is from RNAcentral.
GACGUAGGGCGCGAGCGUUGUCCGGAUUUAUUGGGCGUAAAGAGCUCGUAGGCGGCUUGUCGCGUCGAUUGUGAAAACCCGCGGCUCAACUGCGGGCCUGCAGCCGAUACGGGCAGGCUAGAGUUCGGUAGGGGAGACUGGAAUUCCUGGUGUAGCGGUGAAAUGCGCAGAUAUCAGGAGGAACGCCGGCGGCGAAAGCGGGUCUCUGGGCCGGAACUGACGCUAAGGAGCGAAAGCGUGGGGAGCGAACAGG